GCAAAUAUAUCCACUAAAAUCUACUGAAAUCUGGGAUCACGUUGAACAAAUCCCGAAAAUUCCUCUCUUCCAAUUCUGGGACCUGAUCCGUCAAUGAACAUAAUAGGUGCACAUUAGUAUGUUCAUUUGUUUUCCUACGAAAAUAUCGACGAACAUUAGUAUGUUCAUUUGUUUUUUACGAACAUAUCAACGAACAUAAUAGGUGAACACUAGUAUGUUCAUUGUUUUCCUACGAAAAUAUCGACGAACAUUAAUAUGUUCAUUUAUUUUUUACGAACAUAUCAACGAACAUUAGUAUGUUCAUUAGUAUUUUCUACAAACACUAGGUUAAAACUCCUUAAUCAGCCAAACUUUUGCAUUAUUUUUGCAGAAAUCAACUAACAGAAUUUAUACAAAGGUUCUACCUUUAACCGUUCUAGCAUGAUUUAAAUACCCAACUGGACUUUACAAACCAACAAAUGCAUAAUAACAACCACAAAAUGCAAGCUUUUCUGUGAAUAAGACUAUAGAUCUGUACAAAUUGAAAUGUUGAUAACUAAAGCAUGAGAACAGAACUUGAGUUGCAGUGUUGUUGUGUUUGAGUGAGUAUCGAGUCAGGGCCGUGUCGGGAUGGCGGCGACCUUGCUUCUGGUCGUCCGGCCCAAUGAGAAAUAAACAGAGAUAGAGGGGUGCACGGCGGCGGCAUAUUGACUGCUGUCACCAAUUUGACGGAGGCAGCUCUUGCUGCUGUCGUCCGACAGAGACGGAGAGAGAGAGGGAGGGAGUUGGUGAAGAGGGUGGCCUUCGCCGACUGGAGACUGUGCGUGGACGCGGUUGCCGGAUAAUCGAGGCUAGAGGUGGUAGAUUUUGGAGAUUUUGGGGAUCGAGGCUGGAGGCUGGAGGAUUAGGGUUCGGAGAUUGGGAAAGGAGGCGAGAGAAGGGGGAAUGAAGGGGAUAGCGGCGGUAUCGGAGGGAGAAUGGAGAAGGAGGCGGCAGCCAUAGUGCCGGCGCCGCAGCGACUGCUCGCCGGAGAAGGAGGUAGCGGCGGCUGCAGAUUCUGAGGGAGAGGGAGAAAUCGAGAGUGAGAGAUGGGAU
RNAcentral lists this long non-coding RNA (1074 nucleotides) under Salvia miltiorrhiza (redroot sage). RNAcentral describes it as "long non-coding RNA (SMIL_LNC002226)". Lineage: Eukaryota; Viridiplantae; Streptophyta; Magnoliopsida; Lamiales; Lamiaceae. The record is from RNAcentral.